Molecule: ribosomal RNA, 601 nt
Filed under: uncultured bacterium
Lineage: Bacteria
Description: bacterial SSU rRNA
Rfam family: Bacterial small subunit ribosomal RNA
Source: RNAcentral
UGUAGGGACCUUUCCACGGUUUCUGUGUCGUAGCUAACGCAUUAAGCGCCCCGCCUGGGGAGUACGGCCGCAAGGCUAAAACUCAAAGGAAUUGACGGGGGCCCGCACAAGCGGCGGAGCAUGCGGAUUAAUUCGAUGCAACGCGAAGAACCUUACCAAGGCUUGACAUACACCGGAAACGGCCAGAGAUGGUCGCCCCCUUGUGGUCGGUGUACAGGUGGUGCAUGGUUGUCGUCAGCUCGUGUCGUGAGAUGUUGGGUUAAGUCCCGCAACGAGCGCAACCCUCGUUCUAUGUUGCCAGCGGGUUAUGCCGGGGACUCAUAGGAGACUGCCGGGGUCAACUCGGAGGAAGGUGGGGAUGACGUCAAACCAUCAUGCCCCUUAUGUCUUGGGCUUCACGCAUGCUACAAUGGCCGGUACAAAGGGCUGCGAUACCGUAAGGUGGAGCGAAUCCCAAAAAGCCGGUCUCAGUUCGGAUUGAGGUCUGCAACUCGACCUCAUGAAGUCGGAGUCGCUAGUAAUCGCAGAUCAGCAACGCUGCGGUGAAUACGUUCCCGGGCCUUGUACACACCGCCCGUCAAGUCAUGAAAGUCGGUAACAC